RNAcentral lists this ribosomal RNA (260 nucleotides) under uncultured bacterium. Its description in RNAcentral is "partial 16S ribosomal RNA". It matches the Rfam family "Bacterial small subunit ribosomal RNA", at positions 793 to 1055 of the family's 1533-position model. The record is from RNAcentral.
GUCCACGCCGUAACGAUGUCGACUAGCCGUUGGGCCCUUAUGGGGUUUAGUGGCGCAGCUAACGCAUUAAGUCGACCGCCUGGGGAGUACGGCCGCAAGGUUAAACUCAAAUGAAUUGACGGGGCCCGCACAAGCGGUGGAGCAUCUGGUUUAAUUCGAUGCAACGCGAAGAACCUUACCUACCCUUGACAUCCAGAGAAUCUGUUAGAGAUAGUGGAGUGCCUUCGGGAACUCUGAGACAGGUGCUGCAUGGCUGUCGU